UACAAAAGUGUCUAGUAGUGUGCAGGU
RNAcentral lists this non-coding RNA (27 nucleotides) under Bombyx mori (domestic silkworm). Lineage: Eukaryota; Metazoa; Arthropoda; Insecta; Lepidoptera; Bombycidae. The record is from RNAcentral.